This 77-nucleotide transfer RNA is filed under the name Rickettsiales bacterium. RNAcentral's name for it is "tRNA-Arg". It matches the Rfam family "tRNA". Rfam says of the family: Transfer RNA (tRNA) molecules are approximately 80 nucleotides in length. Their secondary structure includes four short double-helical elements and three loops (D, anti-codon, and T loops). Further hydrogen bonds mediate the characteristic L-shaped molecular structure. tRNAs have two regions of fundamental functional importance: the anti-codon, which is responsible for specific mRNA codon recognition, and the 3' end, to which the tRNAs corresponding amino acid is attached (by aminoacyl-tRNA synthetases). tRNAs cope with the degeneracy of the genetic code in two manners: having more than one tRNA (with a specific anti-codon) for a particular amino acid; and 'wobble' base-pairing, i.e. permitting non-standard base-pairing at the 3rd anti-codon position. Lineage: Bacteria; Pseudomonadati; Pseudomonadota; Alphaproteobacteria; Rickettsiales. The record is from RNAcentral.
GUAUCCAUAGCUUAACUGGAUAGAGCAUUCGCUUGCGAAGUGAAAGGUUAGGGGUUCAAAUCCCCUUGGAUGCACCA